UUAAGCGACUAAGCGUACACGGUGGAUGCCCUGGCAGUCAGAGGCGAUGAAGGACGUGCUAAUCUGCGAAAAGCGUCGGUAAGGUGAUAUGAACCGUUAUAACCGGCGAUGUCCGAAUGGGGAAACCCAGUGCAAUUCGUUGCACUAUCGUUAACUGAAUACAUAGGUUAACGAGGCGAACCGGGGGAACUGAAACAUCUAAGUACCCCGAGGAAAAGAAAUCAACCGAGAUUCCCCCAGUAGCGGCGAGCGAACGGGGAGCAGCCCAGAGUCUGAAUCAGCUUGUGUGUUAGUGGAACGGUCUGGAAAGUCCGACGGUACAGGGUGAUAGUCCCGUACACCAAAAUGCACAGGUUGUGAACUCGAAGAGUAGGGCGGGACACGUGGUAUCCUGUCUGAAUAUGGGGGGACCAUCCUCCAAGGCUAAAUACUCCUGACUGACCGAUAGUGAACCAGUACCGUGAGGGAAAGGCGAAAAGAACCCCGGCGAGGGGAGUGAAAAAGAACCUGAAACCGUGUACGUACAAGCAGUGGGAGCACCUUCGGGUGUGACUGCGUACCUUUUGUAUAAUGGGUCAGCGACUUAUAUUCUGUAGCAAGGUUAACCGUAUAGGGGAGCCGCAGGGAAACCGAGUCUUAACUGGGCGUUAAGUUGCAGGGUAUAGACCCGAAACCCGGUGAUCUAGCCAUGGGCAGGUUGAAGGUUGGGUAACACUAACUGGAGGACCGAACCGACUAAUGUUGAAAAAUUAGCGGAUGACUUGUGGCUGGGGGUGAAAGGCCAAUCAAACCGGGAGAUAGCUGGUUCUCCCCGAAAGCUAUUUAGGUAGCGCCUCGUGAANGCUGUGAACUCGAAGAGUAGGGCGGGACACGUGGUAUCCUGUCUGAAUAUGGGGGGACCAUCCUCCAAGGCUAAAUACUCCUGACUGACCGAUAGUGAACCAGUACCGUGAGGGAAAGGCGAAAAGAACCCCGGCGAGGGGAGUGAAAAAGAACCUGAAACCGUGUACGUACAAGCAGUGGGAGCACCUUCGGGUGUGACUGCGUACCUUUUGUAUAAUGGGUCAGCGACUUAUAUUCUGUAGCAAGGUUAACCGUAUAGGGGAGCCGCAGGGAAACCGAGUCUUAACUGGGCGUUAAGUUGCAGGGUAUAGACCCGAAACCCGGUGAUCUAGCCAUGGGCAGGUUGAAGGUUGGGUAACACUAACUGGAGGACCGAACCGACUAAUGUUGAAAAAUUAGCGGAUGACUUGUGGCUGGGGGUGAAAGGCCAAUCAAACCGGGAGAUAGCUGGUUCUCCCCGAAAGCUAUUUAGGUAGCGCCUCGUGAANUCAUCUUCGGGGGUAGAGCACUGUUUCGGCUAGGGGGUCAUCCCGACUUACCAACCCGAUGCAAACUACGAAUACCGAAGAAUGUUAUCACGGGAGACACACGGCGGGUGCUAACGUCCGUCGUGAAGAGGGAAACAACCCAGACCGCCAGCUAAGGUCCCAAAGUCAUGGUUAAGUGGGAAACGAUGUGGGAAGGCACAGACAGCCAGGAUGUUGGCUUAGAAGCAGCCAUCAUUUAAAGAAAGCGUAAUAGCUCACUGGUCGAGUCGGCCUGCGCGGAAGAUGUAACGGGGCUAAACCAUGCACCGAAGCUGCGGCAGCGACACUAUGUGUUGUUGGGUAGGGGAGCGUUCUGUAAGCCUGCGAAGGUGACCUGUGAGGGUUGCUGGAGGUAUCAGAAGUGCGAAUGCUGACAUAAGUAACGAUAAAGCGGGUGAAAAGCCCGCUCGCCGGAAGACCAAGGGUUCCUGUCCAACGUUAAUCGGGGCAGGGUGAGUCGACCCCUAAGGCGAGGCCGAAAGGCGUAGUCGAUGGGAAACAGGUUAAUAUUCCUGUACUUGGUGUUACUGCGAAGGGGGGACGGAGAAGGCUAUGUUAGCCGGGCGACGGUUGUCCCGGUUUAAGCAUGUAGGCUGGUUGUCCAGGCAAAUCCGGAUAAUCAAGGCUGAGGUGUGAUGACGAGGCACUACGGUGCUGAAGUAACAAAUGCCCUGCUUCCAGGAAAAGCCUCUAAGCAUCAGGUAACAUNAAAUCGUACCCCAAACCGACACAGGUGGUCAGGUAGAGAAUACCAAGGCGCUUGAGAGAACUCGGGUGAAGGAACUAGGCAAAAUGGUGCCGUAACUUCGGGAGAAGGCACGCUGGUGUGUAGGUGAAGUCCCUGCGGAUGGAGCUGAGACCAGUCGAAGAUACCAGCUGGCUGCAACUGUUUAUUAAAAACACAGCACUGUGCAAACACGAAAGUGGACGUAUACGGUGUGACGCCUGCCCGGUGCCGGAAGGUUAAUUGAUGGGGUUAUCCGUAAGGAGAAGCUCUUGAUCGAAGCCCCGGUAAACGGCGGCCGUAACUAUAACGGUCCUAAGGUAGCGAAAUUCCUUGUCGGGUAAGUUCCGACCUGCACGAAUGGCGUAAUGAUGGCCAGGCUGUCUCCACCCGAGACUCAGUGAAAUUGAACUCGCUGUGAAGAUGCAGUGUACCCGCGGCAAGACGGAAAGACCCCGUGAACCUUUACUAUAGCUUGACACUGAACAUUGAGCCUUGAUGUGUAGGAUAGGUGGGAGGCUUUGAAGCGUGGACGCCAGUCUGCGUGGAGCCAACCUUGAAAUACCACCCUUUAAUGUUUGAUGUUCUAACGUUGGCCCCUUACCGGGGUUGCGGACAGUGUCUGGUGGGUAGUUUGACUGGGGCGGUCUCCUCCCAAAGCGUAACGGAGGAGCACGAAGGUUAGCUAAUCCUGGUCGGACAUCAGGAGGUUAGUGCAAUGGCAUAAGCUAGCUUGACUGCGAGCGUGACGGCGCGAGCAGGUGCGAAAGCAGGUCAUAGUGAUCCGGUGGUUCUGAAUGGAAGGGCCAUCGCUCAACGGAUAAAAGGUACUCCGGGGAUAACAGGCUGAUACCGCCCAAGAGUUCAUAUCGACGGCGGUGUUUGGCACCUCGAUGUCGGCUCAUCACAUCCUGGGGCUGAAGUAGGUCCCAAGGGUAUGGCUGUUCGCCAUUUAAAGUGGUACGCGAGCUGGGUUUAGAACGUCGUGAGACAGUUCGGUCCCUAUCUGCCGUGGGCGCUGGAGAAUUGAGGGGGGCUGCUCCUAGUACGAGAGGACCGGAGUGGACGCAUCACUGGUGUUCGGGUUGUCAUGCCAAUGGCACUGCCCGGUAGCUAAAUGCGGAAGAGAUAAGUGCUGAAAGCAUCUAAGCACGAAACUUGCCCCGAGAUGAGUUCUCCCUGAGACUUUAAGUCUCCUGAAGGAACGUUGAAGACGACGACGUUGAUAGGCCGGGUGUGUAAGCGCAGCGAUGCGUUGAGCUAACCGGUACUAAUGAACCGUGAGGCUUAACCUU
RNAcentral lists this ribosomal RNA (3389 nucleotides) under Klebsiella pneumoniae. Its description in RNAcentral is "23S ribosomal RNA". It matches the Rfam family "Bacterial large subunit ribosomal RNA". The record is from RNAcentral. Lineage: Bacteria; Pseudomonadati; Pseudomonadota; Gammaproteobacteria; Enterobacterales; Enterobacteriaceae.